GACGGGACCGCACAAGCGGUGGAUGAUGUGGUUAAUUCGAUGCAACGCGAAAACCUUACCUACCUUGACAUGUCCGGAAUCCCGAAGAGAUUGGGAGUGCUCGCAAGAGAGCCGGAACACAGGUGCUGCAUGGCUGUCGUCAGCUCGUGUCGUGAGAUGUUGGGUUAAGUCCCGCAACGAGCGCAACCCUUGUCAUUAGUUGCCAUCAUUUGGUUGGGCACUCUAAUGAGACUGCCGGUGACAAACCGGAGGAAGGUGGGGAUGACGUCAAGUCCUCAUGGCCCUUAUGGGUAGGGCUUCACACGUCAUACAAUGGUCGGUACAGAGGGUUGCCAACCCGCGAGGGGGAGCUAAUCCCACAAAGCCGAUCGUAGUCCGGAUCGCAGUCUGCAACUCGACUGCGUGAAGUCGGAAUCGCUAGUAAUCGUGGAUCAGCAUGUCACGGUGAAUACGUUCCCGGGUCUU
RNAcentral lists this ribosomal RNA (465 nucleotides) under uncultured Rhodocyclaceae bacterium. RNAcentral describes it as "bacterial SSU rRNA". It matches the Rfam family "Bacterial small subunit ribosomal RNA", at positions 917 to 1381 of the family's 1533-position model. Lineage: Bacteria; Pseudomonadati; Pseudomonadota; Betaproteobacteria; Rhodocyclales; Rhodocyclaceae. The record is from RNAcentral.